UUAUCUUUCCUAUCCUGUAUCGUGUAGUUUGUUCAGAUGUUACCAUUACUGCAUAACUUGCUGAAAGUUGACCCUCGGCACCUGUUGUGCAGGCGGGAUCCUUGUGUGGUGUACAGGAUAGUUUUCUGUCGUCAUUGAGUACUGUGACUAACGGUUGUUCCUGUGUAGUCAUUUCCUCUGUAUGUUGAGCGGUAUAUUCUCCGUUCUCUUCGGUGUUGUUGGUUGUAUCUACAUCUGGGUAAUUUUCUAGACAUUUUUUUUGAGCGGGUUCUCCGUUCUCAGUUGUCGAUGGAGUGGCCUUCUUAGCUAUAAAAGCUUCUAGACGGCGUUUAGUCCUGUCUGUUCUAGCUUUUGAUGACCUUUCUGUGUCUUUUGUAAUGUAGGUGACUCGGUCUGCUCUUCAUGUUGUCUGGACUUUUUAUACGACCGCAAAAAAAUUUUGUGGUCGUAUAUUGGUAUGACGUUGGCGUCGUCGUCGUCGGCGUCGUCGUCGUCGUCCGUCGUCGUCGUCCGAAUACAUAUUGGUUUUCGCACUCUAACUUUAGUUUAAGUGAAUGGAUCUUUUUGAAAUUUGACCAUAAGGUUAAAUACCACAAAAGGAAGGUUGGGAUUGAUUUUGGGGGUUAUGGUACCAACAGUUAAGGAAUUAGGGGCCAAAAAGGGGCCAAAAAUGAGCAUUUUCUAGUUUCCAGACAAUAACUGUGGAAAGGUGUAUGGAUCUCUCUGAAAUUAUACUACAAGUUUCCAUACCACAAAGGGAUGGUUAGGAUUUGCUUUGGGGGGUAUGGCUCAAACCGUUUAGGAAUUAGGGGCAAAAAAGGGGGAAAAACAAGGUUGUCCUGGUUAAUGGACAAAUACUUUAGUACAAAACAUAAUUUAAAGCAGUGUAAGGGAGAUAAAUCAAAUACAUCAUUGAAAUUAUCUCCCUUACACUGCUUUUAAAUUAUGUAUAAAGUAAUGGUUAAUGAACAAUAAAGAUAAUCUAAAACAGUGUAAGGGAGGUAAUCCAAAUACAACGUUUUGGUUACUUCCCUUACACUGCUUUUAAAUUAUGUUUAAAGAAAUGCAUAUUUAUAAAGGAAGACCAGUAAAAAUAUCUGCAAAUGUUUUCAUCUUUUUUUUUUACAAAAAAAUCCAUAUGAAAGAUUUGACACUAUAUUUUUAUUAAUUCUAUUAUAAAAUAGAUUAAGUUAGCACUAUGGUAAAUUUAAAUGGGUAAUUAUGGUUGCCAACUCCAUUGGAAAUUUGAAUUAAGAUUAUGACCAUAUCUUGAGGGAAAGAAUUUUUUUGGGGGAAAAAGGGGGGGGGGAAUAAAAAGAAAUUGUGGGGGGCCAAUUUUUUCUCAUUUCAGAUUUCAGAAAUUAAAAAGAAUUAUUCUUCAAAUAUUAUUUUUUUUUCAAAUUUCAAAUAUUGAAAAAUUUCAAGAAGUAAUCUUUAAUUGCACAGUAUGGCGCAUUAGAUUUGUAAAAUCUUUGAUCACAUUUAUUUAUUUGUUAUGCCGAAUCUAACAGUGUAUUUAGAUUUUUAAUUUUGGGUCCAGUUUUCAAAUUGGUCUACAUUAAUGUCCAAAGGGUCCAAAAUUAAACUUUGUUUGAUUUUAGCAAAAAUUGAAUAUAUGAGGUUCUUUGAUAUGCUGAAUCUAAACAUGUAUUUAGAUUUUUGAUUUUUGGCCCAGUUUUCAAGUUGGUCCAAAUUGGGGUCCAAAAUUAAACUUUGUUUGAUUUCAACAAAAAUUGAAUAUAUGGGGUUCUUUGAUAUGCUGAAUCUAACCAUGUAUUUAGAUUUUUUAUUUGUGGACCCCGUUAUCUAAUUGGUUCAUAUUGAGGUCAAAAGGGUCCAAAAUUAAACUUUGUUUGAUUUCAUCUAAAAUUGAAUUAUUGGGGUUCUUUGAUAUUCCAAAUCUAACCGUGUAUUUAGAUUUUUAAUUUUAAGUCCCGUUUUUUAAAUUGGUCUACAUUAAGGUCCAAAGGGUCCAAAAUUAAACUUAGUUUGAUUUUAGCAAAAAUUGAAUUCUUGGGGUUCUUUGAUAUGCUGAAUCUAAACAUGUGUUUAGAUUUUUGAUUAUGGGCCCAGUUUUCAAGUUUGUCCAAGUUGGGGUCCAAAAUUAAACUUUGUUUGAUUUUAACAAAAAUUGAAUAUAUGGGGUUCUUUGAUAUGCUGAAUCUAACCAUGUAUUUUGAUUUUGGACAUUGGACCAUAAUAGGUAAAUUAAAAAAAUUGAAGUUCUUAGACCACAUUCUUUCUGUGUCAGAAACCUAUGCUGUGUCAAAUAUUUAAUAACAAUCCAAAUUCAGAGCUGUAUCAAGCUUGAAUGUUGUGUCCAUACUUGCCCCAACUGUUCAGGGUUCGACCUCUGCGGUCGUAUCAAGCUGCGCCCCAGCGAAGCAUUUUAUUCCAUCUUA
This is a long non-coding RNA of Mytilus californianus (California mussel), 2402 nucleotides long. RefSeq lists it as uncharacterized. The record is from RefSeq and is a predicted model, not a curated record. The transcript has 2 exons. NCBI's taxonomy places the organism in Eukaryota, Metazoa, Mollusca, Bivalvia, Mytilida, Mytilidae.